GGCGAACGCUGGCGGCGUGCUUAACACAUGCAAGUCGAGCGAUGAAACACCUUCGGGUGUGAAUUAGCGGCGAACGGGUGAGGAACACGUGAAGAAUCUGCCUUCAACUCUGGGAUAACUCCGGGAAACCGGGGCUAAUACCGGAUAUGAGCCUUGAUCGCAUGAUCGGGGCUGGAAAGUUUUUCGGUUGAAGAUGACUUCGCGGCCUAUCAGCUUGUUGGUGAGGUAAUGGCUCACCAAGGCGACGACGGGUAGCCGGCCUGAGAGGGCGACCGGCCACACUGGGACUGAGACACGGCCCAGACUCCUACGGGAGGCAGCAGUGGGGAAUAUUGGGCAAUGGAGGAAACUCUGACCCAGCGACGCCGCGUGAGGGAUGAAGGCCUUCGGGUUGUAAACCUCUUUCAGUAGGGAAGAAGCGAAAGUGACGGUACCUACAGAAGAAGCACCGGCUAACUAUGUGCCAGCAGCCGCGGUAAUACAUAGGGUGCAAGCGUUGUCCGGAAUUAUUGGGCGUAAAGAGCUCGUAGGUGGUUCGAUACGUCGGAUGUGAAAAUCAGGGGCUCAACCCCUGACCUGCAUCCGAUACGGUCGAGCUAGAGUUUGGUAGGGGAGACUGGAAUUCCUGGUGUAGCGGUGGAAUGCGCAGAUAUCAGGAGGAACACCGAUGGCGAAGGCAGGUCUCUGGGCCAAUACUGACACUGAGGAGCGAAAGCGUGGGGAGCGAACAGGAUUAGAUACCCUGGUAGUCCACGCCGUAAACGGUGGGCGCUAGUUGUGCGAACCUUCCACGGUUUGUGCGACGCAGCUAACGCAUUAAGCGCCCCGCCUGGGGAGUACGAUCGCAAGAUUA
RNAcentral lists this ribosomal RNA (853 nucleotides) under uncultured bacterium. RNAcentral describes it as "bacterial SSU rRNA". It matches the Rfam family "Bacterial small subunit ribosomal RNA", at positions 28 to 896 of the family's 1533-position model. The record is from RNAcentral.